UCCUGGCUAGCUCAGUCGGUAGAGCAUGGGACUGUUAAUCCCAGGGUUGUGAGUUCGAGCCCCAUGUUGGGCU
Molecule: transfer RNA, 73 nt
Filed under: Mesocricetus auratus (golden hamster)
Lineage: Eukaryota; Metazoa; Chordata; Mammalia; Rodentia; Cricetidae
Rfam family: tRNA
About the family: Transfer RNA (tRNA) molecules are approximately 80 nucleotides in length. Their secondary structure includes four short double-helical elements and three loops (D, anti-codon, and T loops).
Source: Rfam by way of RNAcentral